CGUCGACAACUGAAAAGCCACAUAUAUUUUUCCUCUUCCAAACCGACGUGGUCUCAAGAACAGCGUGAUAGUCAAGAUGAAGGCUUUUACCUGCUUGGUUCUUCUGGUGUGCCUGGGUGUCGUCUUCGGAGACGCAGCCAUGGAAGAGUCUCCACGGCAAUAUGAUGCGAAAACUGACGAUCUUGAGUCCCGUCAAGCGUGUCAUCCGUGGAAACCACAUAGUUGCCCUUACCCCCUUGUUUGCAAGCAUAAUGGCUUCUGCGGUAGACACUAUAAUCGUGGUUAAACACGCCGUCUGCAUAAAGUGCGUCGAUGGCCGCCAACAAAAAAAAACCAUACCGAUGAGUCAGACGCUGAUAUGAAGCUUGGACCGACAGGAUUUAUUUGUUUCUGGUGGUGGGAUGAAAAGGUUAA
Patiria miniata (bat star) is the source of this 414-nucleotide long non-coding RNA. RefSeq lists it as uncharacterized. NCBI's taxonomy places the organism in Eukaryota, Metazoa, Echinodermata, Asteroidea, Valvatida, Asterinidae. The transcript has 5 exons. The record is from RefSeq and is a predicted model, not a curated record.